This 1014-nucleotide small RNA is filed under the name Malus domestica (apple). Its description in RNAcentral is "sRNA MD10G0204300". Lineage: Eukaryota; Viridiplantae; Streptophyta; Magnoliopsida; Rosales; Rosaceae. The record is from RNAcentral.
GAAAACACCUAGAAACGCUCCAACACUCCCGAGGCUUGGGCAUAGGCACGGCACAAGAUGUUCCUUCUCUUUCCUUCCUUGCAAGCAGCGGCACUAGAGGUUUUGGACGGUUUUGGGUGGUUUUUAUGGUGUAGAAUGGAUGGGGAAUGGUAUGGAAAGGUUUAGGGUAAGUGUGGAGGAGUGUUUGAGGGUUGGAGGGUGGUGGAGAACUAGGCAAAGAGGGUGGAAGAAGGCAAAGAGGGUGGAAGAAGGUGGAGUGGCUGUUAUGUUUUCUAGGCACUAGAAUGGUGUUUUUGGGGUGUUUUGCUUCCUAGGGUGUGUAUGGACGAAUUGUUGUGAUAAAAUGAUGAAUAUGGGGAUUGUCCUUUGGCCAAGGGGUGUAAACAUGUAUUUAUAGGCCCCAAAAACCUUAGAAAAUCAGGUUAGGUUAAGGAUGAAAUGCAUGGCAAUUUUGUGUGUGUGGUGUGCAAUGGUCCAAGGGUGAAAAUGAAGUAAUGAUGCAAAGUGUGAAGGGUAAAAUGGAGUGGUGUUGUAGCUAGGGAGCAUGAAUGAUUGUGUACAUUGCAUAGAGAUGGAAAGGGAGGUGAAAUGUGUCAACAAAUGGGUCAAAGGUGCAACAACAUGUGUUGCACAUGGCAUUGGAUUCCAAAUGUGAAUGAUGGAGCAUCAAUUGGUGCAUGUAAUGGAUGUAAAUGUUGUCUAAAAUCUAAUGAGUGAAGGGAACAAGAGGUAUCAAGCAAUUGAGUGUAAUAAUUAAAUGAAUUGAAGCAUGAAAUCAGAAAUUAUGUAGGGGACAAGAGUGAUCAAGCAUGGCAUGGGAAUCCAAAGGGAAUUCUAUGUGGUUUGCAUGGCAAGGAAUGCAAGUUGGGGUGACAGAUUUUUUGGCUGUUUUCUUCAUCUUUUGGACCAUAAUUCUUCAUAUUCUUGGCCUCUUUAGUUCUCAAAUUCGUCCAUCCACUUUGGCCCAUGCAUUUGCUAUCCAUUCCAAGCCCCAUUUUGCUCCAAAAUGCUCCA